Condylostylus longicornis is the source of this 1395-nucleotide RNA transcript. It is a transcript of the gene named single-stranded DNA-binding protein, mitochondrial, with no coding region annotated. NCBI's taxonomy places the organism in Eukaryota, Metazoa, Arthropoda, Insecta, Diptera, Dolichopodidae. The transcript is spliced from 4 exons. The record is from RefSeq and is a predicted model, not a curated record.
CUGAUUGAAAGCAACACGCGGCUCAACUUAAUUCUCAUAAACAAAAUAUUUUUUUGUUGAUACUUGAUAGUCUCUAGCAUUUUAUUUUUUUUAAGUUUUCUAAUACAAUGAGUAUAUUAUUUCCCAGAUGUUUUAAGGUUUUACAACCCAAAUCGCUUGUAUCACGGCUUUACUGUAGCUCUGGCCCAAAAAUUGAAAAAACUAUAAAUUCAAUAACAUUACUUGGUAGGAUUGGUGCAGAUCCUCAAAAGCGUGGUACUGACCAGCACCCAGUUGUGACAUUUUCAUUAGCAACCCAUAAUAACUAUAAAUAUGAAAGCGGUGAUUGGGCACAAAGAACUGAUUGGCAUAGAAUUGUAGUAUUUAAACCUAGUCUUCGUGAUACAGUUAUGGAUUUUAUGAAAAAAGGACAACGUGCUUUAGUUCAAGGGAAAAUCACAUAUGGAGAAAUAACAGAUACGGAGGGAAAUCAACGCACAAGUACAAGUAUAAUUGCAGAUGAUAUCGUAUUCUUUAGAGAAAAUAAAGAAUAAAUUUCCAAAAUAAUCACAAAGGAAAUAAUCAUCUUCAUGCUUUUUACAUUAUCUCAUUCAUUUUAUUAUUUUGCUAAGAAAAGGAAUUUCAUUAUGUUGUUAAAUAAGAUUAAGAAGUCGAAUAAAUAGAAAGUUUUUAUUUUAAUAAAAUAAAGACAUAAUUAAAUGUAAAAGGGCUUACUAAUGAAAAUGGUAUUGUUUGGCUAUAUUGAACUUCAAUCAGAAUACUACAUACUUUUUGAAAAUUGUUUGUGUAGUAUAUUGGUGACUGUUGUAUUAAUAUUUUACACUGUCUGAAGUAUUUUAUGAAGAAGUAUAUAAGAUGUGAAUGAUAUGAUUAGUCUUGGAACGACAUAUGCUUCCCAAUGGAAUAUUUAAAAAUGAAAUCAUUUCUAACACUUCAAUUGGUCUGCCAUAAUUUUUACUAAAAUUAUAUAAGGUUUUGUCUAACAAUAAUAAGACCCAAUUUUUUUUUAAAUAUUAUAAUUUUUAGAGCAAAAUCAACUUAGAAUUUUAAAAUUCUGUAUUGAAAAUUUAUGUAUGUAUGUUGUUUUGAAUUAACAUUCUAUCAGGGCUAGUUCCAUGUCUAACAAAACAUAUGGAAUCAUUUUUUUUAGGGUAAAAGGAAAAUAGUAAUGAAAGCAAAUGUAGGUCUAAGAUAAUUAUUUAAUGGAAGCUAGAAUUAAGAAAGACAAACAAUUUUUAUUUAUUAUUCAACAUUAUUUUUUAUUGUUUUUUUUUAAAUAUUUUUUGUUUUGUACCUAACUUAUUUUCUUUCAUGUUUAUUUUUUUUUCUCUUAUUUUAUUUUUAAAUAUAUUUUUUAAACAUUUUUUAAUUUUUUCCUCUGUUUUUUUUUUCUUG